This 311-nucleotide signal recognition particle RNA is filed under the name Candidatus Thorarchaeota archaeon. Its description in RNAcentral is "signal recognition particle sRNA". It matches the Rfam family "Archaeal signal recognition particle RNA". Lineage: Archaea; Promethearchaeati; Candidatus Thorarchaeota. The record is from RNAcentral.
CGGCAGGUAGGGCUGGGUCGUUUGCCGCGACCUGUAACCGGUAUGGCAAUAGCCGGAGCCAGUAACCACCACUGAGAAUGAACCGGGAAACCGUUGGACCCAGCUGCGGGACGUUGAUGAGCGGUCUCUGGAGUCCGCUUCUGCUACAGCAGUAAUCGUAGGAUUGCUGUGAGUAGCUUAAUCCUCGGAACCGUGUCAGGUCCUGGCGGGAACAGCACUAACGAGGGGUUGUGGAGCCCCGGAGGUAGCUGCUCUGAGAACCGCACUGUUCAGUCCAGCGCCUACCGACAUACGAUGAGGUGGAUCUGCCG